GAUCCCUGGCUCAGGAUGAACGCUAGCGGCAGGCCUAAUACAUGCAAGUCGAGGGGUAGUGGAGCUUGCUCCAUGAGACCGGCGCACGGGUGCGUAACGCGUAUGCAACCUACCUUCAUCUGGGGGAUAGCCCGAAGAAAUUCGGAUUAACACCGCAUAAAAUCACAGAACGGCAUCGUUCAAUGAUCAAAUAUUUAUAGGAUGGAGAUGGGCAUGCGUGUCAUUAGUUAGUUGGCGGGGUAACGGCCCACCAAGACCGCGAUGACUAGGGGAUCUGAGAGGAUGACCCCCCACACUGGUACUGAGACACGGACCAGACUCCUACGGGAGGCAGCAGUAAGGAAUAUUGGUCAAUGGAGGCAACUCUGAACCAGCCAUGCCGCGUGCAGGAAGACAGCCCUCUGGGUCGUAAACUGCUUUUAUUCGGGAAUAAACCUACUUACGUGUAAGUAGCUGAAUGUACCGAAGGAAUAAGGAUCGGCUAA
Molecule: ribosomal RNA, 485 nt
Filed under: Pedobacter sp. BF.17
Lineage: Bacteria; Pseudomonadati; Bacteroidota; Sphingobacteriia; Sphingobacteriales; Sphingobacteriaceae
Description: bacterial SSU rRNA
Rfam family: Bacterial small subunit ribosomal RNA
Source: RNAcentral